AGCUUUGCGCAGUGGCAGUAUCAUAGCCAAUGAGGUCUAUCCAAGGUGCGAUUAUCGCUAAUUGAAAACUUUUCCCAAUACCCUGCCAUGAUGACUUGAAAUAUAGUUGGCAUUAGCAAUUUUUGACUGUCUCUAUGGAGA
Callithrix jacchus (white-tufted-ear marmoset) is the source of this 141-nucleotide small nuclear RNA. Its record names the gene U4. It matches the Rfam family "U4 spliceosomal RNA". Rfam says of the family: U4 small nuclear RNA (U4 snRNA) is a component of the major U2-dependent spliceosome. The structure of U4 snRNA from yeast and human has been reported. NCBI's taxonomy places the organism in Eukaryota, Metazoa, Chordata, Mammalia, Primates, Cebidae. The record is from Ensembl.